UUUUUUUCUUUUCUUUUCCUUAAUAUUUUCCCCUUUUAUUUCAUUUUCACUCAUUUAUUUUAUUUAUUUAUUUUAUUUUUCUUUUAAUUUGUUUACCUUUUAUUUCUUUAAAAAAAUCAUUUCUAUUUUUUAUUUUAUUUUAUUUUAUUUCUUUUUAAUUUCUAUUAUUUAUUUAAUUUAUCACAUUUUCUUUUAUUUUGUUU
This 203-nucleotide long non-coding RNA is filed under the name Lathyrus oleraceus (garden pea). RNAcentral describes it as "Pisum sativum (pea) long non-coding RNA (PSAT_LNC017990)". The record is from RNAcentral. Lineage: Eukaryota; Viridiplantae; Streptophyta; Magnoliopsida; Fabales; Fabaceae.